UCUGGCUCAGGAUGAACGCUAGCUACAGGCUUAACACAUGCAAGUCGAGGGGCAGCAGGACGAUAGCUUGCUAUGUUGCUGGCGACCGGCGCACGGGUGAGUAACGCGUAUCCAACCUUCCCCUUAGUAGGGCAUAGCCCGGUGAAAAUCGGAUUAAUACCCUAUGUUAUUCGUCGAGGACAUCUGAAGUGAAUCAAAGAUUUAUCGCUAAGGGAUGGGGAUGCGUCUGAUUAGGUAGUCGGCGGGGUAACGGCCCACCGAGCCCUCGAUCAGUAGGGGUUCUGAGAGGAAGGUCCCCCACACUGGUACUGAGACACGGACCAGACUCCUACGGGAGGCAGCAGUGAGGAAUAUUGGUCAAUGGGCGAGAGCCUGAACCAGCCAAGUAGCGUGCAGGAUGACGGCCCUAUGGGUUGUAAACUGCUUUUAUACGGGGAUAAAGUGAGGGACGUGUCCCUUAUUGUAGGUACCGUAUGAAUAAGGACCGGCUAAUUCCGUGCCAGCAGCCGC
Molecule: ribosomal RNA, 510 nt
Filed under: uncultured bacterium
Lineage: Bacteria
Description: bacterial SSU rRNA
Rfam family: Bacterial small subunit ribosomal RNA
Source: RNAcentral